Long non-coding RNA from Calypte anna (Anna's hummingbird), 271 nucleotides. RefSeq lists it as uncharacterized. Lineage: Eukaryota; Metazoa; Chordata; Aves; Apodiformes; Trochilidae. The transcript has 3 exons. The record is from RefSeq and is a predicted model, not a curated record.
GGCGCGGCGCGGCACCCGGGACCUGGCAGCAGCACCGCGGCGGGGCGCCCCGGGACCGGCCCGCCACCCACCCGUCCACCUACCCACUCCUCCCGGAACGGAACGGGCAGCGCAGCUCCCAGCUCGUGCUAAAAUGAAACUUGGGAAGGAUUCGCCUACCUGGGAGCUGCCCGGGCUCGGUCCUACUUCACUUACAGUACGGCGCUUAUCCUGUAAACAAAUAUCGCUCCGCCAGGAAACAUAACUCCCCCUCCCCGCCCCGGCCCCGCUG